Molecule: ribosomal RNA, 788 nt
Filed under: Escherichia coli
Lineage: Bacteria; Pseudomonadati; Pseudomonadota; Gammaproteobacteria; Enterobacterales; Enterobacteriaceae
Description: partial 23S ribosomal RNA
Rfam family: Bacterial large subunit ribosomal RNA
Source: RNAcentral
UGCGUAAUAGCUCACUAGUCGAGUGACACUGCGCCGAAAAUGUACCGGGGCUAAACAUAUUACCGAAGCUGUGGAUUGUCCUUCGGACAAUGGUAGGAGAGCGUUCUAAGGGCGUUGAAGCAUGAUCGCAAGGACAUGUGGAGCGCUUAGAAGUGAGAAUGCCGGUGUGAGUAGCGAAAGACGGGUGAGAAUCCCGUCCACCGAUUGACUAAGGUUUCCAGAGGAAGGCUCGUCCGCUCUGGGUUAGUCGGGUCCUAAGCUGAGGCCGACAGGCGUAGGCGAUGGAUAACAGGUUGAUAUUCCUGUACCACCUAGUAUCGUUUUAAUCGAUGGGGGGACGCAGUAGGAUAGGCGAAGCGUGCUGUUGGAGUGCACGUCCAAGCAGUAAGGCUGAGUGUUAGGCAAAUCCGGCACUCGUUAGGCUGAGCUGUGAUGGGGAGAGGAAAUUGUUUCCUCGAGUCGUUGAUUUCACACUGCCGAGAAAAGCCUCUAGAUAGAUAACAGGUGCCCGUACCGCAAACCGACACAGGUAGUCAAGAUGAGAAUUCUAAGGUGAGCGAGCGAACUCUCGUUAAGGAACUCGGCAAAAUGACCCCGUAACUUCGGGAGAAGGGGUGCUCUUUAGGGUUCACGCCCAGAAGAGCCGCAGUGAAUAGGCCCAAGCGACUGUUUAUCAAAAACACAGGUCUCUGCUAAACCGUAAGGUGAUGUAUAGGGGCUGACGCCUGCCCGGUGCUGGAAGGUUAAGAGGAGUGGUUAGCUUCUGCGAAGCCACGAAUCGAAGCCCC